GAUGAAGAACGUAGCGAAAUGCGAUAAGUAGUGUGAAUUGCAGAAUUCAGUGAAUCAUCGAAUCUUUGAACGCACAUUGCGCCCUUUGGUAUUCCAAAGGGCAUGCCUGUUCGAGCGUCAUUUGUACCCUCAAGCUUUGCUUGGUGUUGGGCGUCUUGUCUCUAGCUUUGCUGGAGACUCGCCUUAAAGUAAUUGGCAGCCGGCCUACUGGUUUCGGAGCGCAGCACAAGUCGCACUCUCUAUCAGCAAAGGUCUAGCAUCCAUUAAGCCUUUUUUUCAACUUUUGACCUCGGAUUAGGUAGGGAUACCCGCUGAACUUAAGCAUAUCAAUAAGCGGAGGA
Molecule: unclassified non-coding RNA, 341 nt
Filed under: soil metagenome
Description: partial contains 5.8S ribosomal RNA, internal transcribed spacer 2, and large subunit ribosomal RNA
Rfam family: 5.8S ribosomal RNA (bases 1-120)
Source: RNAcentral